CCCUUAGAUGUACUGGGCCGCACGCGCGCUACACUGUUCGACGCAGCGAGUCUUAACCUUGACCGAAAGGUUUGGGUAAUCUUCAGCAAAGUCGAACGUGAUGGGGAUCGAUCAUUGCAAUUAUUGAUCGUGAACGAGGAAUUCCUAGUAAGUGCAAGUCAUCAGCUUGCGCUGAUUACGUCCCUGCCCUUUGUACACACCGCCCGUCGCUACUACCGAUUGAAUGGUUUAGUGAGAUCUCUGGAUUGACGCUGGCUAGGGGGCGACCCUUGGCCAGACUGUUGAGAAACUGCUCAAACUUGAUCAUUUAGAGGAAGUAAAAGUCGUAACA
This 331-nucleotide ribosomal RNA is filed under the name uncultured eukaryote. RNAcentral describes it as "partial 18S ribosomal RNA". It matches the Rfam family "Eukaryotic small subunit ribosomal RNA", at positions 1470 to 1796 of the family's 1831-position model. The record is from RNAcentral.